GCCGGAGUGGUGAAAUUGGUAGACACGUCGGAUUCAAAAUCCGAUGCCAGCGAUGGCGUGCCGGUUCAAGUCCGGCCUCCGGUACCA
RNAcentral lists this transfer RNA (87 nucleotides) under Pseudomonadota bacterium. Its description in RNAcentral is "tRNA-Leu". It matches the Rfam family "tRNA". Rfam says of the family: Transfer RNA (tRNA) molecules are approximately 80 nucleotides in length. Their secondary structure includes four short double-helical elements and three loops (D, anti-codon, and T loops). Further hydrogen bonds mediate the characteristic L-shaped molecular structure. tRNAs have two regions of fundamental functional importance: the anti-codon, which is responsible for specific mRNA codon recognition, and the 3' end, to which the tRNAs corresponding amino acid is attached (by aminoacyl-tRNA synthetases). tRNAs cope with the degeneracy of the genetic code in two manners: having more than one tRNA (with a specific anti-codon) for a particular amino acid; and 'wobble' base-pairing, i.e. permitting non-standard base-pairing at the 3rd anti-codon position. The record is from RNAcentral. RNAcentral also lists the same sequence under 2 other names. Lineage: Bacteria; Pseudomonadati; Pseudomonadota.